UACAGAGGCCUCGAGCGUUGUUCGGAAUUACUGGGCGUAAAGGGAAUGUAGGUGGUGACGUAAGUCAGAUGUGAAAGCCCUGGGCUUAACCUGGGAAGUGCAUUUGAUACUGCGUUGCUCGAGUGCGAGAGAGGAAAGCGGAAUUCCUAGUGUAGGAGUGAAAUCCGUAGAUAUUAGGAGGAAUACCGAUGGCGAAGGCAGCUUUCUGGCUCGCAACUGACACUGAGAUUCGAAAGCGUGGGUAGCAAAC
RNAcentral lists this ribosomal RNA (250 nucleotides) under uncultured bacterium. RNAcentral's name for it is "partial 16S ribosomal RNA". It matches the Rfam family "Bacterial small subunit ribosomal RNA", at positions 524 to 773 of the family's 1533-position model. The record is from RNAcentral.